RNAcentral lists this ribosomal RNA (164 nucleotides) under uncultured bacterium. RNAcentral describes it as "partial 16S ribosomal RNA". It matches the Rfam family "Bacterial small subunit ribosomal RNA", at positions 355 to 511 of the family's 1533-position model. The record is from RNAcentral.
UAGGGAAUCUUCCACAAUGGGCGAAAGCCUGAUGGAGCAACGCCGCGUGUGUGAUGAAGGCUUUCGGGUCGUAAAGCACUGUUGUAUGGGAAGAACAGCUAGAAUAGGAAAUGAUUUUAGUUUGACGGUACCAUACCAGAAAGGGACGGCUAAAUACGUGUCAG